GAGCGAACGGGGAGCAGCCCAGAGUCUGAAUCAGCUUGUGUGUUAGUGGAACGGUCUGGAAAGUCCGACGGUACAGGGUGAUAGUCCCGUACACCAAAAUGCACAGGUUGUGAACUCGAAGAGUAGGGCGGGACACGUGGUAUCCUGUCUGAAUAUGGGGGGACCAUCCUCCAAGGCUAAAUACUCCUGACUGACCGAUAGUGAACCAGUACCGUGAGGGAAAGGCGAAAAGAACCCCGGCGAGGGGAGUGAAAAAGAACCUGAAACCGUGUACGUACAAGCAGUGGGAGCACCUUCGGGUGUGACUGCGUACCUUUUGUAUAAUGGGUCAGCGACUUAUAUUCUGUAGCAAGGUUAACCGUAUAGGGGAGCCGCAGGGAAACCGAGUCUUAACUGGGCGUUAAGUUGCAGGGUAUAGACCCGAAACCCGGUGAUCUAGCCAUGGGCAGGUUGAAGGUUGGGUAACACUAACUGGAGGACCGAACCGACUAAUGUUGAAAAAUUAGCGGAUGACUUGUGGCUGGGGGUGAAAGGCCAAUCAAACCGGGAGAUAGCUGGUUCUCCCCGAAAGCUAUUUAGGUAGCGCCUCGUGAACUCAUCUUCGGGGGUAGAGCACUGUUUCGGCUAGGGGGUCAUCCCGACUUACCAACCCGAUGCAAACUACGAAUACCGAAGAAUGUUAUCACGGGAGACACACGGCGGGUGCUAACGUCCGUCGUGAAGAGGGAAACAACCCAGACCGCCAGCUAAGGUCCCAAAGUCAUGGUUAAGUGGGAAACGAUGUGGGAAGGCACAGACAGCCAGGAUGUUGGCUUAGAAGCAGCCAUCAUUUAAAGAAAGCGUAAUAGCUCACUGGUCGAGUCGGCCUGCGCGGAAGAUGUAACGGGGCUAAACCAUGCACCGAAGCUGCGGCAGCGACACUAUGUGUUGUUGGGUAGGGGAGCGUUCUGUAAGCCUGCGAAGGUGUGCUGUGAGGCAUGCUGGAGGUAUCAGAAGUGCGAAUGCUGACAUAAGUAACGAUAAAGCGGGUGAAAAGCCCGCUCGCCGGAAGACCAAGGGUUCCUGUCCAACGUUAAUCGGGGCAGGGUGAGUCGACCCCUAAGGCGAGGCCGAAAGGCGUAGUCGAUGGGAAACAGGUUAAUAUUCCUGUACUUGGUGUUACUGCGAAGGGGGGACGGAGAAGGCUAUGUUAGCCGGGCGACGGUUGUCCCGGUUUAAGCAUGUAGGCUGGUUAUCCAGGCAAAUCCGGAUAAUCAAGGCUGAGGUGUGAUGACGAGGCACUACGGUGCUGAAGUAACAAAUGCCCUGCUUCCAGGAAAAGCCUCUAAGCAUCAGGUAACAUCAAAUCGUACCCCAAACCGACACAGGUGGUCAGGUAGAGAAUACCAAGGCGCUUGAGAGAACUCGGGUGAAGGAACUAGGCAAAAUGGUGCCGUAACUUCGGGAGAAGGCACGCUGGUGUGUAGGUGAAGCCCCUGCGGGUGGAGCUGAGACCAGUCGAAGAUACCAGCUGGCUGCAACUGUUUAUUAAAAACACAGCACUGUGCAAACACGAAAGUGGACGUAUACGGUGUGACGCCUGCCCGGUGCCGGAAGGUUAAUUGAUGGGGUUAUCCGUAAGGAGAAGCUCUUGAUCGAAGCCCCGGUAAACGGCGGCCGUAACUAUAACGGUCCUAAGGUAGCGAAAUUCCUUGUCGGGUAAGUUCCGACCUGCACGAAUGGCGUAAUGAUGGCCAGGCUGUCUCCACCCGAGACUCAGUGAAAUUGAACUCGCUGUGAAGAUGCAGUGUACCCGCGGCAAGACGGAAAGACCCCGUGAACCUUUACUAUAGCUUGACACUGAACAUUGAGCCUUGAUGUGUAGGAUAGGUGGGAGGCUUUGAAGCGUGGACGCCAGUCUGCGUGGAGCCAACCUUGAAAUACCACCCUUUAAUGUUUGAUGUUCUAACGUUGGCCCCUUACCGGGGUUGCGGACAGUGUCUGGUGGGUAGUUUGACUGGGGCGGUCUCCUCCUAAAGCGUAACGGAGGAGCACGAAGGUUAGCUAAUCCUGGUCGGACAUCAGGAGGUUAGUGCAAUGGCAUAAGCUAGCUUGACUGCGAGCGUGACGGCGCGAGCAGGUGCGAAAGCAGGUCAUAGUGAUCCGGUGGUUCUGAAUGGAAGGGCCAUCGCUCAACGGAUAAAAGGUACUCCGGGGAUAACAGGCUGAUACCGCCCAAGAGUUCAUAUCGACGGCGGUGUUUGGCACCUCGAUGUCGGCUCAUCACAUCCUGGGGCUGAAGUAGGUCCCAAGGGUAUGGCUGUUCGCCAUUUAAAGUGGUACGCGAGCUGGGUUUAGAACGUCGUGAGACAGUUCGGUCCCUAUCUGCCGUGGGCGCUGGAGAAUUGAGGGGGGCUGCUCCUAGUACGAGAGGACCGGAGUGGACGCAUCACUGGUGUUCGGGUUGUCAUGCCAAUGGCACUGCCCGGUAGCUAAAUGCGGAAGAGAUAAGUGCUGAAAGCAUCUAAGCACGAAACUUGCCCCGAGAUGAGUUCUCCCUGAGACUUUAAGUCUCCUGAAGGAACGUUGAAGACGACGACGUUGAUAGGCCGGGUGUGUAAGCGCAGCGAUGCGUUGAGCUAACCGGUACUAAUGAACCGUGAGGCUUAACCUU
This 2653-nucleotide ribosomal RNA is filed under the name Klebsiella pneumoniae. RNAcentral's name for it is "bacterial LSU rRNA". It matches the Rfam family "Bacterial large subunit ribosomal RNA". Lineage: Bacteria; Pseudomonadati; Pseudomonadota; Gammaproteobacteria; Enterobacterales; Enterobacteriaceae. The record is from RNAcentral.